GACGAACGCUGGCGGCGUGCUUAACACAUGCAAGUCGAGCGGUAAGGCCCUUUCGGGGGUACACGAGCGGCGAACGGGUGAGUAACACGUGGGUGACCUGCCCUCAGCUCUGGGAUAAGCCUGGGAAACCGGGUCUAAUACCGGAUAUGACUCCAUGACGCAUGUUGUGGGGUGGAAAGCCUUGUGCGGCUGAGGAUGGGCCCGCGGCCUAUCAGCUUGUUGGUGGGGUGAUGGCCUACCAAGGCGACGACGGGUAGCCGGCCUGAGAGGGCGACCGGCCACACUGGGACUGAGACACGGCCCCAGACUCCUACGGGAGGCAGCAGUGGGGAAUCUUGCGCAAUGGGCGAAAGCCUGACGCAGCGACGCCGCGUGAGGGAUGACGGCCUCGGUG
RNAcentral lists this ribosomal RNA (394 nucleotides) under uncultured bacterium. RNAcentral describes it as "bacterial SSU rRNA". It matches the Rfam family "Bacterial small subunit ribosomal RNA", at positions 28 to 422 of the family's 1533-position model. The record is from RNAcentral.